UGGGGAAUAUUGCGCAAUGGGCGAAAGCCUGACGCAGCGACGCCGCGUGAGGGAUGAAGGUUUUCGGAUCGUAAACCUCUGUCGGAAGGGAAGAAACCGCACUGUGCUAAUCAGCAGUGCCUUGACGGUACCUUCAAAGGAAGCACCGGCUAACUCCGUGCCAGCAGCCGCGGUAAUACGGAGGGUGCAAGCGUUAAUCGGAAUUACUGGGCGUAAAGCGCACGUAGGCUGCUUUGUAAGUCAGGGGUGAAAUCCCACGGCUCAACCGUGGAACUGCCUUUGAUACUGCUUAGCUUGAAUCCGGGAGAGGGUGGCGGAAUUCCAGGUGUAGGAGUGAAAUCCGUAGAUAUCUGGAGGAACAUCAGUGGCGAAGGCGGCCACCUGGACCGGUAUUGACGCUGAGGUGCGAAAGCGUGGGGAGCAAACAGG
RNAcentral lists this ribosomal RNA (429 nucleotides) under Fusobacteriota bacterium. RNAcentral describes it as "Fusobacteria bacterium partial 16S ribosomal RNA". It matches the Rfam family "Bacterial small subunit ribosomal RNA", at positions 355 to 776 of the family's 1533-position model. Lineage: Bacteria; Fusobacteriati; Fusobacteriota. The record is from RNAcentral.